This 230-nucleotide unclassified non-coding RNA is filed under the name plant metagenome. RNAcentral's name for it is "partial contains small subunit ribosomal RNA, internal transcribed spacer 1, and 5.8S ribosomal RNA". The record is from RNAcentral.
UCUCCGUUGGUGAACCAGCGGAGGGAUCAUUACAGAGUUGCAAAACUCCAAACCAUUGUGAACGUUACCUAUCCCGUUGCUUCGGCGGGCGGCCCGGGCCCCGCGCCCGGCGCCCCCCGGCCCCCCGUGGGCGCCCGCCGGAGGUAAACCAAACCCUUGAAUUGCAUGGCCUCUCUGAGUCUUCUGUACUGAAUAAGUCAAUACUUUCAACAACGGAUCUCUUGGUUCUG